Molecule: ribosomal RNA, 327 nt
Filed under: uncultured eukaryote
Lineage: Eukaryota
Description: partial 18S ribosomal RNA
Rfam family: Eukaryotic small subunit ribosomal RNA
Source: RNAcentral
CCCUUAGAUGUUCUGGGCUGCACGCGCGCUACACUGCUGCAAUUAACGGGUUUUCUGUGCCGAAAGGCUUGGGGAAUCCUUUGAAUAUGCGGCGUGAUGGGGAUAGAAUAUUGUAAUUAUUACUCUUCAACGAGGAAUUCCUAGUAAGCGCGGGUCAGCAGCCCGCGCUGAUUACGUCCCUGCCCUUUGUACACACCGCCCGUCGCUACUACCGAUUGAAUGAUUUAGUGAGGACUUCGGACUGGGACCGAUGCGGCUUUCGGGCUGCGUCGGUAUUCUGGAAAGAUGUCCAAACUGUNUNAUUUAUNGGAAGUAAAANUCGUANCA